RNAcentral lists this ribosomal RNA (798 nucleotides) under Triticum aestivum (bread wheat). RNAcentral's name for it is "partial small subunit ribosomal RNA". Lineage: Eukaryota; Viridiplantae; Streptophyta; Magnoliopsida; Poales; Poaceae. The record is from RNAcentral.
AUGAUGCUCACGAAGAAGCUUGGUGAGCUCGACCUAUUGAUGAAGCCAAAGCAAGACAGAUAUGCUCUCCGCACAUCGCUGCAAUGGCUUGGGCCACAAACUGAGGUCAUCCGUGCAGCGACGAAGUUGAUUGAGCGCGAGAUCAACUCCGUUAAUGACAACCCACUCAUUGACGUAUCUCGUGGAAAGGCAAUUCACGGUGGCAACUUCCAAGGCACGCACAUCGGUCGCCGCAACCCAAGCCUGGACUAUGGCUUCAAGGGUGCCGAGAUCGCCAUGGCUUCAUACUGCUCGGAGCUCCAAUUCUUGGGCAACCCUGUGACCAACCAUGUCCAGACCAUUGACCCGCGCCACCUCGAGGAGAAUGUCAAGAAUGCCGUCAAGAAUUGUGUCACAAGAGUGGCCAGGAAGACACUGAUCACAAAUGACAUGGGUGGUCUCCACAACGCACUUUUUUAUGAGAAGGACCUACUCCAAACAAUUGACCGCGAGGCGGUGUUUGCAUACGCGGACGACCCUUGCAGCGCCAACUACCCUCUCAUGAAGAAGAUGCGCGCGGUGCUGGUGGAGCAUGCUCUGGCCAACGGUGAGGCUGAGCACAAUGUGGAGACCUCGGUGUUUGCCAAGGUUGCCAAAUUCGAGCAGGAGCUCUGCGCGACACUGCCUCGGGAGGUUGAGGCUGCUAGAGGUGUAGUGGAGAAUGGCACUGCUGCAGAACCGAACCGUAUCACUGACUACCGAUCAUACCCUCUGUAUCGGUUCGUGCGCGAGGAGCUUGGAAUGGUGUACUUGACCUGA